This is a long non-coding RNA of Mus musculus (house mouse), 674 nucleotides long. RefSeq annotates it as predicted gene, 38605. The transcript is spliced from 5 exons. NCBI's taxonomy places the organism in Eukaryota, Metazoa, Chordata, Mammalia, Rodentia, Muridae. The record is from RefSeq and is a predicted model, not a curated record.
CCCGCCUCGCCUUGUCCCCUCGCACAGCGGGACUGGCAGGCUGCAGCACCUGUGUGCCUCCUUCCCCAGCUAGCACUUCUCGGUGCUGCACGCUUUGCAGUGAGCAGUGAGAGGUUAUUUGGUGAGCAUCAGUCAGAACUAGAAGUCAAGACUGGACAGGUCUGAGGAAGUGCGGUGCUCUGUCCGCACAGUGCUGUAAGGCUUCACCAGUCAGGGCUCGGUGUGCGCCUUGUCCAUGAUCGCCACUGAGCUUUCGAGAACUUCAGCUGCACACAGACGCCCCAGCUUCCAGCCCUCAUCGCCUUUUAGUUCUCUCUAUGACUGCCACACAAGCACAUCAUGUACAACACCAUGUGGAUGAUGUACUUCUCGCUCUCUGCCCCCUUGAUGCGGACUCUGCUGCCGAAUGUAUCUGUCUCCACGAUGAGCUUGGCUGUGAGCAUCGAAAGAAAAGAGACCUUAGUCUGUGGCUCAGGGGUGGGCAAGGCUUCUCCCCAAACUGUCUGCGCUUCGAAGUCAGAUCAAAGGGCUGAAUACCAGUCACUUGGACCAAGACAGAGCUAGACCCAGCUCAGCAUGUAUCAGGGACCAAUAUCCUAGACAGAAGGCACCAGCCUGUAAAGGUCAGGAGUUGCAAGGCCUCUAGGAGAAUAAGAACAUCUUUGCAUCCUACC